GCUCCCGCCCCGCGAGGGCGCCGCCGCCUCCGCGGCCUCCGCGCGGCGCCCCGCGGGCUCUGCGGCGCGGGCGGGCUCCGGCGGCGCCGGUCUCGCUCGGCAGCCGCUGCAUGGCAGCCCGUGGCCGCCGGGCAGGGCCGCGCUCGCCGCCCCCCCGGCUGCGGAAGGAGGACGGCGGGGCAUGCCGCCGGCGGGGCGUUUCUGCGGGGACUGACAUGCUGCCGCAGGAGGGAGGCUGCCAGCCCCUUCGCCUCUGCCGCCGGUAGCGGCCGCGAUGCGCGGCGCUCCCCUGGCUCUCCCGCAGGCGCCGGGCUACCGCCGAGAGCAGCCGCGCUCGCCGCUGUGAGCGGGCCGGCGGCGAGGCGCGGCCGCGGGGCGCCGCCGCCGGGGAAGGCGUUGCCCGCGCCCGCGGGGCCCCGCGCAGCGGGCGGCUCCGCGCGGCGGAUGCGUGUGCAUGAGCGCUGCACCGAGCGGGCGCAGGAAGCGCCCCCGCUCCGCCGCCUCCAUCUUCCAGGGCGGCAAGAGCCCGCCGGGCGGCCGGGACUGUGAACGCCGGGGCAGCGGCUCCGAGAGCGCCCAGCAGACCCAGAGAGCCCUGGACGACUGCAAAAUGCUUGUCCAGGAGUUCAAUACCCAGGUGGCCCUAUACCGGGAGCUGGUCAUUUCCAUCGGGGAUGUCUCAGUCACCUGUCCGUCUCUACACGCCGAAAUGCACAAGACUCGAACCCGAGGAUGUGAGAUGGCCUAUCAGGCUCAUCAAAAACUAGCAGCAAUUUCUGGCCCAGAAGAUGGUGAAAUUCAUCCUGAAAUCUGUAGAUUAUACAUCCAGUUGCAGUGUUGCUUAGAAAUGUACACAACAGAAAUGCUUAAGUCCAUAUGUUUGCUAGGAUCCCUUCAGUUUCAUCGGAAAGGAAAAGAGCUUUGUGCACCACCCAAGAUCCUAGACACUAAAGUGGAGGAGAGUUCUGAAGUACCUAUUUUAGAAGACACGUCAUCAUCUCCAACAGAUAUUCAACAGCAUUUAUGGCAAGUUUCCACAGAUAUUGAGAACACUGACAGAGAUAUGAGAGAAAUGAAAAACCUUUUAAGCAAACUCAGGGAGACUAUGCCUUUACCACUGAAAAAUCAAGAGUCCAGCUAUGAUCACAGUUUACAGCUGACCUCAGAGAAUUGAUGCUUCAGGAGUGGACAGUCAUACGUAUUAUUGACACAGGAGUUAAAACUACAAAAUAUUCCAAGACCUUUAAUUAAUUAAAGCUAGAGGAAAGUAUAAGAAAAUAGAACAAACAAACGAACAACAACAUUAUAGAUGAUAGCAGCCUCCUAAAUUUGACUCCUUACCCAUUAGUAAGAAGACGGAAGCGAAGAUUCUUUGGACUGUGUUGUCUUGUCUCCAGUUAGAAGAUUAAGUACAGAAAUGAUGAGAAAAUCGUAACUUUGAUUAAACCACUAUCAUUUGAGCGCUGCAAAGAUGAACAUUACUACUCUUGAUUAUAAAGUAUAUUUUCUACGCUAGCCUGUUCCUUUUUCUCUUCUGCUCCAUCCCCCUUUUCAAAAUAGAGUUUUAACAAUUUAAAGUUAUAGUGUUCAAGAACCAGUUGUGGAACAAAUCUAGAAUAACUAAGAAUGUUUCUAAAACUUUUUAAAGUAUGUUUUGCAUGCUUAAAUGGCUCAGAGAAAGACACAUGAAUUAUGGUUAAUAGAUCAUUUUUAAGUUUUUAUUGUUUGAACUGCAGCUAAAACUUUGUGCAUAGUACAGUACUCUUAUUAGUAUCACAUUAAAACAGUCUUUAAGCAUAGAAAGCUAUUUAAUAGCAAAGUAUUGAAGUUCUAAACCGUUUAGACAAUAUUGUAACAGAAUUUGCACAAAAUCUACAGUUGCUUUUUGUGCUCUCAUUCAUAUUUAGUCUUCCACUCUAUCUCAAUCUAAAGGCUUCAUAGAAAAGUAUCUUAAUUUAUGAUACACAAACCGUAUAUAAAAAUAUUUAGAUCUUGUAAAUACAGAGAAAUCAUAAUAUCUACAUACUGUACAAUGCAUAGAAAUAAUAAAUUUCCUUUUAAGCCAGUGGUAUCUCUCCAGCCUUUUGGAAAAAAAAUAAGUACUUUAUUAAAAGCAGGUGUAGUAAAAUAAACAGUUACCCUACAAUGUACAACAUACCACUAACCCAUUUUGUUUCCAAUAGAAUUUAAAGCAUGGUAUCUGCAUAUCACUAACUAUUAACUCUUACAGGGCAUGCCAGAAUUAGCUCAGAUUGUAAGAUAUUAAACAUUUUACAUUGUUAAUAAAGUUUUUUAUUUAAAUUAA
Molecule: RNA transcript, 2305 nt
Organism: Dromaius novaehollandiae (emu)
Lineage: Eukaryota; Metazoa; Chordata; Aves; Casuariiformes; Dromaiidae
Gene: RGS7BP
Gene name: regulator of G protein signaling 7 binding protein
Exons: 7
Source: RefSeq, a predicted model, not a curated record